Molecule: transfer RNA, 64 nt
Filed under: Ctenophora environmental sample
Lineage: Eukaryota; Metazoa; Ctenophora
Rfam family: tRNA
About the family: Transfer RNA (tRNA) molecules are approximately 80 nucleotides in length. Their secondary structure includes four short double-helical elements and three loops (D, anti-codon, and T loops).
Source: RNAcentral
GAUGUAACUUAAAGGUAAAGUAGUGGACUCAUAACCCAUAAACGGGGGUUCAAAUCCCCCCAUC